RNAcentral lists this small RNA (28 nucleotides) under Bombyx mori (domestic silkworm). Its description in RNAcentral is "ovarian small RNA-1131". Lineage: Eukaryota; Metazoa; Arthropoda; Insecta; Lepidoptera; Bombycidae. The record is from RNAcentral.
UCGCGACGCCAGCGACAGUGCUUCGAGA